RNAcentral lists this ribosomal RNA (630 nucleotides) under Hepatozoon canis. RNAcentral's name for it is "SSU rRNA". It matches the Rfam family "Eukaryotic small subunit ribosomal RNA", at positions 138 to 760 of the family's 1831-position model. The record is from RNAcentral. Lineage: Eukaryota; Apicomplexa; Hepatozoidae.
CAUGGAUAACCGUGGUAAUUCUACAGCUAAUACAUGAGCAAAAUCUCAACUUUAUUAGAAGAGACGCAUUUAUUAGAUAAAAAGCCAAUGCAUGCUUUUACAGUAUGAAAAUUGGUGAUUUAUAAUAACUUAGCAAAUCGCAAAGUGAAAACAGGCGAUAAAUCAUUCAAGUUUCUGACCUAUCAGCUUUCGACGGUAUGGUAUUGGCUUACCGUGGCAGUGACGGUUAACGGGGGAUUAGGGUUCGAUUCCGGAGAGGGAGCCUGAGAAACGGCUACCACAUCUAAGGAAGGCAGCAGGCGCGCAAAUUACCCAAUUCUAACAGUUUGAGAGAGGUAGUAACAAGAAAUAACAAUACAAGGCAGUUAAAAUGCUUUGUAAUUGGAAUGAUAGAAAUUUAAACCCUUUUUAAAGUAUCAAUUGGAGGGCAAGUCUGGUGCCAGCAGCCGCGGUAAUUCCAGCUCCAAUAGCGUAUAUUAAAAUUGUUGCAGUUAAAAAGCUCGUAGUUGAAGUUCUGCUAAAAGUAACCGGUCUGCUUUUAAUAAAAGUGGUAUCUUGGUAUGUAUUUAGCAAUGAUGUCCUUUGAAGUGUUUUUUACUUUAUUGUAAUAAAGCAUAUUCAGGACUUUUA